Long non-coding RNA from Heterocephalus glaber (naked mole-rat), 605 nucleotides. The record is from Ensembl. NCBI's taxonomy places the organism in Eukaryota, Metazoa, Chordata, Mammalia, Rodentia, Bathyergidae.
GUGGCCCUCUCCUCCGCUCUGAGAGCGUUUCCGGAGCGCCUACUGUGUGCUUGUUGCUAGGGUGGGGCGUUACAAGGAAAGAAAGUGCCAGACCCGACCUUAGUAAGCGUGCUCGCUGCAGCGGUCCUCGGGCUGGCGCUGGGAAACUGAGGGACACUUAGUCCUGAGAACCUCCAGUUGGUAAGGGACAGUUCAGGAUGCGAUGGCUCUUCGGUCCCCCAGGGCCCACGGAGUCGAGAAGAAAGCCAUCUCCGAUAAAACCCCAAGCAGGUAGCCCAGUCACGCACUCGAGAGGCGACCGGGGGUGAUAACUGGCAGCGCUUAGGGAGCGUUGAUGACGCAGCCAGGCUGGCCCCGCGCUUCGUGGGCAUCAUCCCGUGCAGUUCUCCGGUUAUCUGGCUGGCUUUGAAUUCCUGAGCUCAAGUGAUCCUCUUGCCCUCAGUCUGCAAGCAGCAAGGACUGCAGGGUCUUGCUAUGUACUUCAGGCUGGUCUUGAACUCACUGUGUAGUCCAGGCUGGCCUCAUACUCAUGGCAAUCCUCCUGCUUCCUGAGUGCUGAGAUUCCAGGCCAGAAAACCAGGAGUGCAGAUAUUCCAGGAGAAGAG